GUGCUCGCUACGGCAGCACAUAUACUAACAUUGGAUCGAUACAGAGAAGAUUAGCAUGGCCCUGCGAAAGGAUGACACACAAAUCCGUGAAGCGCUCCAUAUUUUU
Small nuclear RNA from Pygocentrus nattereri (red-bellied piranha), 106 nucleotides. The record is from Ensembl. Lineage: Eukaryota; Metazoa; Chordata; Actinopteri; Characiformes; Serrasalmidae.